RNAcentral lists this ribosomal RNA (164 nucleotides) under uncultured bacterium. Its description in RNAcentral is "partial 16S rRNA". It matches the Rfam family "Bacterial small subunit ribosomal RNA", at positions 355 to 511 of the family's 1533-position model. The record is from RNAcentral.
UAGGGAAUCUUCCACAAUGGACGCAAGUCUGAUGGAGCAACGCCGCGUGAGUGAAGAAGAUCUUCGGAUCGUAAAACUCUGUUGUUAGAGAAGAACACGAGUGAGAGUAACUGUUCAUUCGAUGACGGUAUCUAACCAGCAAGUCACGGCUAACUACGUGCCAG